Piliocolobus tephrosceles (Ugandan red Colobus) is the source of this 3011-nucleotide long non-coding RNA. The record is from Ensembl. Lineage: Eukaryota; Metazoa; Chordata; Mammalia; Primates; Cercopithecidae.
UUAUUAGCAAUUGAAGUAAAGACACUAAAUUAAUGUAAUUUAUAUAAUUUAUAUAAAGUAUAUAAUUUAUAUAAAGUAUAUAAUUUANNNNNNNNNNUAUAUAAUUUAUAUAAAGUAUAUAAUUUAUAUAAAGUAUAUAAUUUAUAUAAUUAACAAAAGUGAAAAAAAAAAAAAAAAAAAAAAAAUGCAAAACGUUUAGUGUAAAAUUUUUACACAGCCGUAAUAUGAAAUUUUUAUUUUAUCAAGUUUUAAAUGUAUACAAAACGUAUAUAAGUAAAUUUAUAUAAGUAAAUUGACAUUGUUAUAAAUGUAGAAAUUGUCUAUUUUGUAAUAUUUGUAUGUGUACACUUUGAAAGUGAGAUUAAGUCUGAAAUUUUAUUUUAUUUUUUUUUAUUUUUUUAUAUUUUUUUUACGCUUGCAUAUUUGUUAUAAUUCGCUACAUAAAUAAAUGUUUAUAAUAAUCUACUUUUCAAAAAUGAAAAAAAAACAGUAUUAAUAAAAAUAAGACAUACACACAUAAGCAUAUGUACGUAUGUAUAUGCAUGUGUUUUAAAGCAUAAAUAUUAUACAAGAGUGUGUACGUACGUAAGAACAUAAUAAAAAAAAAAAAAAAAAAAAAAAAAAAAAGAACUGGUAUUACGUACGUGCAUUCCUUAACUAUAUAUAUAUACAUACAUUUCUAUAUGCCCAACAACUGUAUCGCUAAUAAAAAAAAAGAAAAAAAAAAAAAAAAAAAAAAAGGGAUACAUAUGUAAAUAUCUUGAUAUGUCCACAUUUUACAUAUGUACACGUAACAGUUGUAUAAAAAAAAUAAAAUUUUAUAUUUUUACAAAACAGAAUAGAUGACAAUCAGUAAAGAUUCAAAAAAAAAAAAAAAAAACAAUAUAGAACACGUUUUAAAGAAAGUUAAAAAUAAUAAAUCAAUGAAGCAUACUAGUAAUAAAAGGGAGUGUGUAAAAGAGCAUAAUUGUUUAGAUGAGUAUAGAACUGAGAAUGGCAGUACCAAUAUGACCAGAAAUAAAACCUUAACAGAAAACACUGAACUAAUUUGGAGUAUAUUGGACUAUGACUGUGAAAAUGCGAUUGACUUGUUUAAUAAGCAAAGUUAUAUAUUUUUUACAAAAAGAGGUAAGAAAUGUUUUAAAAAACACAUUUUGCCUAUUAUUAUAUUAAACUCAAAACAUAUAAAUGACAUAAAAAAUGAUUUAUUUGAAACAUUAGAUUGUAGUAAUAACAUAGUUAAAAAUAAUAAUAUAACAAAAUUAAAAAGAAUUGCAAAUGAAAAUCAUUUAAGUUUAUUAGUAAAUUGUGAUGGAGAUAAUAUAUGGAGAGAAGACAAAAAUAAAUCGGUUGAUAAAAUGAUGAUUAUAUCUAAAAGUGCUUUUUUUAAAAUAAUAGAAUCUACAAUGAACGAAAAAAUGAGCGAAAAAAUGGAUGAUAAAAUGAAUAAUGAUAAUUAUAAUCUUUAUAAAAUUUUAUUACAUAUGUUUAUGUAUAGAGAAUUAUAUUUUAUUAAUAAAGAGAAAAAUGCUUUUUUAAAAAAAAAUAGUUUAUGUAAACAUGUUGAUUUAUGUUUUCAGUCUAACGUAAACACACUUCUUAAUAAAAUAAGUUAUCGUAUAACAAACAGCUUACAUAAUGAAAAUAUAUCUCCACUUAGCAAUUAUAAUCCUAAACAUACAAAUAGUACUAACAACCUGUUUAUUGAUAGUAAUUACAACAACAACAAUAAUAAUAACAAUAACAGCACUUUAUUAAAACAAGAUUAUGAAAUAAUAGAAAAAGACAAUUUAAUAAAUAAUAUUAUUCAUAAGAGUAUAAUACAAGUAUCACAAAAUGGCAAAUCCCAAAUUCCAGAUAGUUUACAACUAUCAAAUAAAAGUCCCAAACAAAUUGUUAAACUAUCAACUUAUGACAAAAGUAAAUGUUAUGAUAAAGAUAAAUACUAUGAUAAAAUAUAUAAAAAACAAAAAAAAAAAUACAAUGACCCAAUCAAUAUAUUAAAACUGUUUUUAAAAAACGAUAAUAAUUCAUUAUAUUUUAAUAAAUUUAACGAAUUAAAAGAAUGUACUUUUCAGCCAAACGUUCAUAAGUAUGUUUCUAAAGAAUUGGUUAGUCAUGGUAUUGAUAAAAAUUGUCGAAAUGUUAAAAACGAAAAAAAAGAAACGAAUAAACUGAAUAUUGAAAAAAUAUAUACAAAUAAUAAUAAUAAUAUAAUAGCUAAUAAAAUAUAUACAUAUAUGUUAAAAAACUCCUCAGCUUUAAAUGGAAAUAAUAUAGAUAAUGAAAAAGUAACUGAAUAUUUUAAGUUUUGCCUUCAGUAUUAUGGUGCAUAUAAAGACCAAAGCUACCCUGAAGUAGAUACAAAAAAAAGUACACUAAAAUAUCAUGAUAAAUUUCAAGAUCCUAAAUACAGUAGUAUAAAAAAUGCCAACCAUAUCAGUUCUAAGCUCUAUAAACACAAAAAAAAUGUAUACAAAAAAGAAAACAAGAUACAAAAUUCGAAUAGUGCAAAUGGAAUAAUUAUAAACAAAAAUAUGUGGGCUAAUAGCUUAAGAGAAGAAUAUUCACCUAAACCAUUUGACUUUUCAAUGAUAAAUAAAACUGAAAAUAAUUACGAAUUAAAAGCCAAAAAAAAAAUAAAAAAUGAAUAUGACUGGUCGAAAGAAAUAAGAUUAAGUGGGAGAAAAUUAACAACUAAAGUUGUACCUAACUAUGAUUUGUUAAAUCACGUCAUAGGUAAUUUAAACAAUGAUAAUAAACAUAAUAAUCAAAAAGUUUUAGCAACUUGUAAUGGUACAAACAUAGAAAAACAAGAAGGUGUAAAAAAUAAUAUUUGUUUAUAUAACGACUACUCCUAUGCAACUAGUACGCAACCUCCACCUAAAAUCAUGGCAAGUAAAAAUAAUCAUACAAUUUUAAAAAAAAUUGAAAAAGAACUAUUAGCUUUACCCAAAUCAAUAAAAUUUACCCCCAUGUACUGAAAAUAAAAAUUACAUAAAAGUUUAACA